AUUGAACGCUGGCGGCAGGCCUAACACAUGCAAGUCGAGCGGAUGAAGGGAGCUUGCUCCUGGAUUCAGCGGCGGACGGGUGUGUAAUGCCUAGGAAUCUGCCUGGUAGUGGGGGAUAACGUCCGGAAACGGGCGCUAAUACCGCAUACGUCCUGAGGGAGAAAGUGGGGGAUCUUCGGACCUCACGCUAUCAGAUGAGCCUAGGUCGGAUUAGCUAGUUGGUGGGGUAAAGGCCUACCAAGGCGACGAUCCGUAACUGGUCUGAGAGGAUGAUCAGUCACACUGGAACUGAGACACGGUACAGAAUCAUAAGGGAGGCAGCAGUGGGGAAUAUUGGACAAUGGGCGAAAGCAUGAUCCAGCCAUGCCGCGUGUGUGAAGAAGGUCUUCGAAUUGUAAAGCACUUUAAGUUGGGAGGAAGGGCAGUAAGUUAAUACCUUGCUGUUUUGACGUUACCAACAGAAUAAGCACCGGCUAACUUCGUG
Molecule: ribosomal RNA, 484 nt
Filed under: uncultured bacterium
Lineage: Bacteria
Description: partial 16S ribosomal RNA
Rfam family: Bacterial small subunit ribosomal RNA
Source: RNAcentral